Molecule: unclassified non-coding RNA, 260 nt
Filed under: plant metagenome
Description: partial contains small subunit ribosomal RNA, internal transcribed spacer 1, and 5.8S ribosomal RNA
Source: RNAcentral
UUUCCGUAGGUGAACCUGCGGAAGGAUCAUUAUCGUACAACUGAGGUGCGAAGGCUGUCGCUGACCUUCAAAGGUCGUGCACGCCCGAGUGCUCUCACAUCCAUCUCACCCCUAUGUGCACCACCGCGUGGGUCCCCCUUUGGCUUGUUCGGAGGGGGGCUUACGUUUUCACACAAACUUUGUAUGCAGUGUAGAAUGUAUUUUUUGUUUUUGCGAUCACGCAAUCAAUACAACUUUCAACAACGGAUCUCUUGGCUCUC